Molecule: ribosomal RNA, 399 nt
Filed under: uncultured bacterium
Lineage: Bacteria
Description: bacterial SSU rRNA
Rfam family: Bacterial small subunit ribosomal RNA
Source: RNAcentral
GGAAUAUUGCGCAAUGGGCGAAAGCCUGACGCAGCAACGCCGCGUGCCUGAAGAAGGCCUUCGAGGCGUAAAAGGCUUUUCUUGUCGAAGAGGAAGGACAGUAGGCCAGGAAUAAGUGUCGGCUAACUACGUGCCAGCAGCCGCGGUAAAACGUAGGACGCAAGCGUUAUCCGGAUUUACUGGGCGUAAAGCGCAGGCAGGCGGAUAUGCAAGUUGGCUGUGAAAGCGCCCGGCUCAACUGGGCGAGGCCAGUCAAAACUGCAUAACUAGAGGACAGUAGAGGAACGUAGAAUUCCGGGUGGAGUGGUGAAAUGCGUAGAUAUCCGGAGGAAUACCAGAGGCGAAGGCGACGUUCUGGGCUGUUCCUGACGCUGAGCUGCGAAAGCAUGGGUAGCGAAC